Molecule: long non-coding RNA, 307 nt
Filed under: Bos taurus (domestic cattle)
Lineage: Eukaryota; Metazoa; Chordata; Mammalia; Artiodactyla; Bovidae
Description: long non-coding RNA NONBTAT023396
Source: RNAcentral
AAAUGAGACACAGCUUUAUUGAUUAUUUAAGCCUGUCUGCUGGGCCUACCCCUUGGAGAAAACCAGCUAUGAGUAAAAGAUGGAUGAGAAAACACUGCCAUGGGCUGAGGUACUGAUGAAGCUUGUAACUGGGCUCUGUGUUUUGCCUGUUUGAAAGCAGAGACUAUCAGUGCAGGACACACACAUGCUGGGGCUGCAGCAUCCUCAUGAAUUGUUUUGUAGCAUUUAAACAGCUUCUUUUUUCCAAAGAACUCAAAUGCAAAUAAUUAAGUCUGUGUGUCAUCAAAGCAGGGAAAAACUACAGCCU